Pleuronectes platessa (European plaice) is the source of this 596-nucleotide long non-coding RNA. RefSeq lists it as uncharacterized. NCBI's taxonomy places the organism in Eukaryota, Metazoa, Chordata, Actinopteri, Pleuronectiformes, Pleuronectidae. The transcript has 3 exons. The record is from RefSeq and is a predicted model, not a curated record.
UUGGAAUGGAUCGAGCAUUUCAAUUGUUCAAGUUGUUUUUUACUUCCUGUCGAUCACUGAUUAAUGCAUUGUUAUGUUUCUAGUUUUGCAGUUUGUGGUCAGUGCCUGCUUUUCCAUUUCCUUCUGCUGCAGCUUCACAGUAAAAGCCGUCCAAUCGCCAGCGCUUUAUUUUGAAGUAGCCACAGGAAACGCGUUUGCCAGUGAGCCCAGCACAUACCAGCGCCGUUCAUCAAAAACAGGUUUAACAAAAACAAGACGAGGGGUGUUCUCGGCAUCUUCUGACACCGGGUCAAUUUGAAAUAUUGCAGGGAGUAAUGUAACAAGAAGGAGCCGCCACAGUGAGCUGUUAGAUGAAGAACUACAGGCGACAGGCUGGACACCUCCAACUUCUCUCAGAGUUUCACUUCCUGCUCCUCCAUGAUUACCUGCCCCAGCUGUGACAGUCUUCACCUGUGUGCUUCCCUUUGUGUGUCGACAACAGAACGUGGACCUUACCUGUUUGGAAUAAUCAAUCGCGAUUGCUGCCUCGGACCAGAGUGAUGAAAGAACUGAACUCCUCGGAAUCUCCCUGGAGGAAAGAGAGAGAAGGAGAGAGA